CAGGAUUAUACCUUGCCUGACCCACGUGAAGAGGACACGGAAAAUAUUCACCUUCCAACCCCAAAGAGACGACGUGAGCCUCCUCCUCCUCACAUGGACUGCAUCCCUCACAUGUUGCAGCUUCCAGAGCAUCUGUAGCUGCCUUGUCUGCUUGACUGGGUGCUGUACUGAUAUGUACCAGCUGCUCCUUGCACC
Ornithodoros turicata is the source of this 195-nucleotide long non-coding RNA. RefSeq lists it as uncharacterized. The transcript is spliced from 3 exons. The record is from RefSeq and is a predicted model, not a curated record. NCBI's taxonomy places the organism in Eukaryota, Metazoa, Arthropoda, Arachnida, Ixodida, Argasidae.